Molecule: ribosomal RNA, 460 nt
Filed under: uncultured bacterium
Lineage: Bacteria
Description: partial 16S ribosomal RNA
Rfam family: Bacterial small subunit ribosomal RNA
Source: RNAcentral
CCUACGGGUGGCAGCAGUGAGGAAUAUUGGACAAUGGGCGCGAGCCUGAACCAGCCAAGUAGCGUGAAGGAUGACGGCCCUACGGGUUGUAAACUUCUUUUAUAAAGGAAUAAAGUGAGGCAAGUGUGCCUUGUUGUAUGUACUUUAUGCAUAAGGAUCGGCUAACUCCGGGCCAGAAGCCGCGGUAAGACGGAGGAUCCGAGCGUUAUCCGGAUUUAUUGGGUUUAAACGGCGCGUAGAUGGGUGGUUAAGUCAGUUGUGAAAGUUUGCGGCUCAACCGUAAAAUUGCAAUUGAUACUGGCAGUCUUGAGUACGGUUGAGGUAGGCGGAAUUCGUGGUGUAGCGGUGAAAUGCUUAGAUAUCACGAAGAACUCCGAUUGCGAAGGCAGCUUACUAGACUGCCACUGACGUUGAUGCUCGAAAGUGUGGGUAUCGAACAGGAUUAGAUACCCGGGUAGUC